RNAcentral lists this unclassified non-coding RNA (253 nucleotides) under Hazardia squarrosa var. grindelioides. RNAcentral describes it as "partial external transcribed spacer". The record is from RNAcentral. Lineage: Eukaryota; Viridiplantae; Streptophyta; Magnoliopsida; Asterales; Asteraceae.
UCGAUGUAUGGCUUGUGUGGGGCGAGAGGCACAACGUGGAACCGUAAAAGGAUCUGCAAGGGUUUCCCAAACCACACAAGCCAUACAUCGGUUGUAAGUCGCAAAACAACCRAAAUUGUUGUAUUGSUUGGAUGUGGGCGAGAGGCACAACGUGAAUCCGUAAUUGGCCUUGGCGGGUGUCUUUUUAAGCAUCCAAACCAUACAACAAUUGGGGAGGAUUCUUAUGGUGGGUUUCGUUCUCUUCGUAUCGUGC